AUUGAACGCUGGCGGCAGGCCUAACACAUGCAUGUCGAGCGGAUGAAGGAAGCUUGCUCCUGGAUUCAGCGGCGGACGGGUGAGUAAUGCCUAGGAAUCUGCCUGGUAGUGGGGGAUAACGUCCGGAAACGGGCGCUAAUACCGCAUACGUCCUGAGGGAGAAAGUGGGGGAUCUUCGGACCUCACGCUAUCAGAUGAGCCUAGGUCGGAUUAGCUAGUUGGUGGGGUAAAGGCCUACCAAGGCGACGAUCCGUAACUGGUCUGAGAGGAUGAUCAGUCACACUGGAACUGAGACACGGUCCAGACUCCUACGGGAGGCAGCAGUGGGGAAUAUUGGACAAUGGGCGAAAGCCUGAUCCAGCCAUGCCGCGUGUGUGAAGAAGGUCUUCGGAUUGUAAAGCACUUUAAGUUGGGAGGAAGGGCAGUAAGUUAAUACCUUGCUGUUUUGACGUUACCAACAGAAUAAGCACCGGCUAACUUCGUG
Molecule: ribosomal RNA, 484 nt
Filed under: uncultured bacterium
Lineage: Bacteria
Description: partial 16S ribosomal RNA
Rfam family: Bacterial small subunit ribosomal RNA
Source: RNAcentral